Meriones unguiculatus (Mongolian gerbil) is the source of this 4586-nucleotide long non-coding RNA. RefSeq lists it as uncharacterized. NCBI's taxonomy places the organism in Eukaryota, Metazoa, Chordata, Mammalia, Rodentia, Muridae. The transcript has 3 exons. The record is from RefSeq and is a predicted model, not a curated record.
UCUAGAAUCUCUUCCUGCUGCCUGCGGAUCCAGAUGUGGAACUCUCAGCUCCUUCUCCAGCACCAUGUCUGCCUGUGUGCCACCGUGCUUCCCACCGUGAAGAUAACGGACUAAAUCUCUGAAACUGUAAGCCAGGCCCAAUUAAACGCUUUCUUUUAUAGGAGUUGCUGUGGCCAUGGUGUCUCUUCACAGCAACACAGGAAUGACUAAGACAGAAAUUGGCAUCAGGGGCAGGGUUUUGCUGUGACAGCCUGCUCAUGCUGUGGGUGAAAUGUGGACUUUUGGACUUUGGAUUAGGAAAGCAGUUGUGUUGUGGAUAUAAACGCAGUUUUGUUUUGUUCCCAGGUGUGGGAUGUGGGACUGAUUCAGAUGGUCCACAGCAGCAGACUAUUUGCCUCAUGCCAGCUCUGAGAGGAGCUGCAGAUAGUUUAAAUCUGAGGACUCUGGAGAGAGAAUAAAUGCCAGAGACCAGAGAGUGAGAAGCUCAGAAAAAGAACAAGGCUGAUCCUGCUUCCCCCUUGCUGCUACUGAUUGCUGUUGCAAGACAAGAAGCUAGAGGUCUCCUGAAACAAGGAUUGGACUGGCUUCCAAGGAACCGGAUGACCCUGACCAGCAGGAAGCAGCUAAGAGAACUGCACCCCCUGUCGCACUAACUCUUUCUCUCUCCUACCUGGUGUUGGGGUGUUGGAAAGGAUUGGAGUGGAGUAGGGAGAAAAAGAUAAAAGAAAUAUAAAGAAAAGAGUUUUUAAAAAAGUACACCAACACAGUUGACUGCAUUAAGCAGGGCUUAAUGAGCCAUACUAGUAGGAGCAUGGAAGACAUCGCUAGGAGCAAUUUGAACUGUGUGUGUGGCGGGGGAGAUCAACAAGUUCCAGAGGCCUAGAGACUGUUCUUCUAAUAUUUUGGCAAAGAAUGUAGCUGCUUUUUGCCCCUGUUCCAAUAUGUAUAUGUUCAUUGAAGAGUUAUGAAUUAAUGGCCGUGGCAGAAGAGAUUUUAAGACAGCCUAGUGUUGACCGCGUCACCUGGGUGCUAGCUACUAGCAGCCACCCUUCUGCAGAUCGACAAGGGAAAGAAGCAAGUGGGGCAAGGAGAAGACCAAAAUGUACAGUUGGAGGAGAGAAGGCGCUCCAGUGAGAACUAAGUCCAGUGCCCAAGGAGAGAACAUUUAAGGAAAGCCUGAUGCUAAAGGGAAUAAAGGGAAUGUUGGCCUCAGGGCAAGACCCCAGCCAGCUAAGCUUUCACCCUGACCAAGGAAAACAGGAAGAUGAAAAUGUAUUUGAAGGAGGGGGCCAUGUUCUAGCCCCAUCAAGCAGCAGAACUUGGCAGCCUUGGCCUCAUGUUUCUGGCUUUCGCGGCAAGGAUAGAGGAAGGGAUUGUGGAAUCUCCCUCCACGGCUAAGGAAAGCUGCUGAGCCAGGCAUGUGUCAGGGGUGUCCCAGCAUGGAGGCCCAGGGAGAGGCCGUUGUGUGAGCUGUGAGAGUGAAGCCUAGAUUUCACUGGAGACCCCACGAUGUUGGAGAUACCAGAGCUGUGGGGUACCUGCCAAGGAAAGGUACUAACAGGGAGAGGAACCAGCCCAAGAGAGACAAGUCUGUGGCAGUCAACAAACCCGGAAGGAGUGAAAGGUCUGAAGAACACUUGGAUGUCAGACAUGGAAAUGCAUAAUUUGGAGUGUGCUAGCUUACAGUUUUGAAGUUUAAUCCAUUGUCGUAGUGGGAGGUACAGCAGCCUAUAGGCAGAGGUGAUGCUGAAAGUUUCCAGUCUUCCUCUGGUCCAGCAUUUUCUCACUAUGCCCCCUUCCCUCCCUUUUUGAAGGGUAAUGUAUAUAUUCUUCGCCGUUGUAUGUUGAAAGUAUGUGAUCUGCUUUGAUAUUUUGAUUUUUACAGUCAGGAAAUUGCCUUGGGGCUCAGACAAGCCUUUGGAUGGACAUUUACACGGCGUUUCGACGGUUGUAGAGUAGGGGGACUUCUGAAGUUGGACUGAAUGUAUCUUUGUGUUCUGAUGUGGCUAUAAACCUAUGGGGGCCAGGGAGUGGGAGGCGUGACUUGAAUAGGAAUGGCCCCUAUGGGCUUGUGUUUCUGAAUGCUCGUCACCAGGGGGUGGAACUAUUAGAAAGGUUUCAGAGGUGUGUCCGUGUUGGAGGAAGUGUGUCACGGAGGUAAAACCCGAAGUUUCAGAAGCCCAUUCCAAGCCCAGAAUCUCUCUGUCCCUGCUGUUUGCAAAUUGAGACAUAGAACGCUAGCUCCUUCUCCAGCACCAUGUCUGCCUGCCUGCCUGCCUGCUGCCAGUUAAAUGUUUCCUUUAUAAGAGUCAGAGCGGCCGUGGUGUCUCUGCACAGCCGUAGAAGACUGACCCAAACGCAUGUCAACAGUGUUGCAAUGUAUGAACCAAUCUUACCUCACCUCAUGUACUCAGCCAGUGUCUCAUAGAGACUUGCCUGAAGUCUGGCCUGAGAGAAUUCCACGACUCCUGUGGGCUGACACAUGGACAUUGUCGCUGAAACAAACCAGGAGGAAGGAGGAGCUCAGGUCCCACUCUGUGAGAAUGGCCUUGAACCUCUUCACAUCAUGCCUCUACCUCCCAACCUUUGGCACUACAGGCGUGCGCCACCAUGAGUGGGGUAUGUGGUGCCAGCUGUUGUCAUGGCAACUGUCAACGGACAUGGCCCUGGGGGUUAUGCCAUUUUGCCCACAGGCGGAAUUAUACGUUAGAGACUGUUUGCUGACAAUCAUCUACAAUCUAAUGAGUUUGGGCUAACCCAUCUGAGAAGGGACUGUAAGUACCCUGUCCUCAGAGAUCAACACAGUUAGGGUAGACUAAAGAUUCAGCUUGCCCUCCUGGGCAGUAUUCAGGGGGAUAUGCUCUGCUCCCUCAUCUUGCUGGGCCAUCUUGCUGGGCCAGCUUACAUAGAGAUCCAAACUAGCUGCGUAGCCUGGGCUGACCUUGAAUUUGUUGAUCUUCCUGUUAAAUGUUGGGAUGAUAGGUGUUUGAUUUGACACUGUGUCUGGGUUUUUACUGCUGGGCCUCUAACCUAGUGUGUGGUGCCUGUUGGACAAACACGCCACGAUUGAGCUAAAGCCCUGUCCUCGGGAUAUGGGGCUUUUAAGAGAUAUUUCAAUCUUUUACAAUACCAAGCCGCUUGUGCGCUAUGAAGAGAGGUGGAGCUGGAGACUCGAAGGCAGUUCCUAUUCUUACUCCUGGGAAAUGGUGAAUCACACUCCAACAGUAGAGCCAGUAACAACGCAAGUGCCAGUGGCCUGUGCCUUCUUCCUUUGAGAAUAUGACCACUGUGACUCCCAGAGCUACAUACUAGCCCAGGGAAGAAGAGCAGUACCUGCAGAGUGGAGACCCACACUUGCCUCGCCAUGUUCUCCGUGUUUACUUCUCAUCAUUGGCCUAUCUCUCUAGUUGGUUGUGGUGGUGGUUCAGCCAUGAGACUGGACAACUCUGCGUUGAGUUACAGUUUUUCUGUGCUGUGUUUAACUUUGACCAGGGAUUUAUUUCCUUUGGAAUCUUAGUGUUGGACAAACAUUUGAAGAAAUCCAGAGACCCCACCCACUUCGUGGUCUGCAGCUCGAGCAACUACAAUAUGCAAAUAUGGGGUGGAGAGAUGGGAGAGAGUGAGCAGUGGAACAGUUUGAGGACUAUGAAGAGACAUGAGGGUGGAGAGGAACGGCCACACGUGAGUAGCCUGGAUGUCACCUGAGGCUACCGUGAGGUCCUGGUCUGUGCCGCUACUGAGGGCCAUAUCUGUGUUGAUGUCCAUGGAUCAAAUUACCACCAAUGGCCACCUUGACAUCCCUGGUCUGGGCUGCUGCCUUGGACCCUGUUGCUGUUCAAGGACUGCACAAAGAUGGCCCCACCCCUCACUGGCUGCAGCUCUCGGAAGAGUCCCACUCCCACCCUGCACCUCACCCAAGCAGCACAGUAGAGCUGGCCCUGUAGGGGGGACACAAGCAAACCUGAGGGCAUGCGUAUGGGAGAGCUGGCCCUGCCUGUCACUGGCUGCAGCACUCAGGAGAGCAGGGCCCUGGUGGUGGAAGCAUGGAAAGUAGGCCCUGGUCCCAGGGCAUGAGAGUAGGAGAACUGUCCCCAUCCUCCACCCCUUGCUGGCUUUGGCAUUGGGCAAGCUAGCUGGGGCAGAGCUGGAGAGCUUGUCUUGGUGGUGAGGGUGCCGGAGAGCUGGUGGGCUGACCAACUCAGAUACCUCCCAGGCCCAGGUCCAAGGCUAUGAGUUGGCCCACCCCAACAUCUACCCCAGGUAUGAACUGCUGGAGCCAUUCAUGCAGAUCCAAAGCUGCAGGAUCUCAUGACAUGGGACAGCUGGAUAUCUGAGAGGAGUUCCCAUGAGCAUCCAGUUUUGAUGGUGUAGCAGAAGCCAGAGGCCUUGAAUCAGACCAAUGACUCAUGGCAAUGAACAUUUGCAAAGAUGUGUGGACAAAAGGCUAUACUGUGGGACACACUACAGCUUCCAAGACAAGACCUUUUCUUUUUUUUUUUUUUUUUCUCUUGAGGGGGAGGUUCCAAGGACAAAGGGCAGAUACAAAGGGAGGAGGAGAUGAGUGGGGUACAUGAAGCGAAAUUCAC